GAACUUCCGUUAAUUGAUUAUGACGUACUUGUACUGAUUGAGAUUUUAACACGAAGUGAGUGGCGAACGGGUGAGUAACACGUGGGUAACCUGCCCAGAAGUAGGGGAUAACACCUGGAAACAGAUGCUAAUACCGUAUAACAGAGAAAACCGCAUGGUUUUCUUUUAAAAGAUGGCUCUGCUAUCACUUCUGGAUGGACCCGCGGCGUAUUAGCUAGUUGGUGAGGUAAAGGCUCACCAAGGCAGUGAUACGUAGCCGACCUGAGAGGGUAAUCGGCCACAUUGGGACUGAGACACGGCCCAGACUCCUACGGGAGGCAGCAGUAGGGAAUCUUCCACAAUGGACGCAAGUCUGAUGGAGCAACGCCGCGUGAGUGAAGAAGGGUUUCGGCUCGUAAAGCUCUGUUGUUAAAGAAGAACGUGGGUAAGAGUAACUGUUUACCCAGUGACGGUAUUUAACCAGAAAGCCACGGCUAACUACGUGCCAGCAGCCGCGGUAAUACGUAGGUGGCAAGCGUUAUCCGGAUUUAUUGGGCGUAAAGCGAGCGCAGGCGGUCUUUUAAGUCUAAUGUGAAAGCCUUCGGCUCAACCGAAGAAGUGCAUUGGAAACUGGGAGACUUGAGUGCAGAAGAGGACAGUGGAACUCCAUGUGUAGCGGUGAAAUGCGUAGAUAUAUGGAAGAACACCAGUGGCGAAAGCGGCUGUCUGGUCUGCAACUGACGCUGAGGCUCGAAAGCAUGGGUA
This 744-nucleotide ribosomal RNA is filed under the name Pediococcus pentosaceus. Its description in RNAcentral is "bacterial SSU rRNA". It matches the Rfam family "Bacterial small subunit ribosomal RNA", at positions 48 to 767 of the family's 1533-position model. The record is from RNAcentral. Lineage: Bacteria; Bacillati; Bacillota; Bacilli; Lactobacillales; Lactobacillaceae.